UCCUCGUUAGUGUAGUGGUGAGUAUUCCCCGCCUGUCACGCGGGAGACCGGGGUUCGAUUCCCCGACGGGGAG
Molecule: transfer RNA, 73 nt
Filed under: Notamacropus eugenii (tammar wallaby)
Lineage: Eukaryota; Metazoa; Chordata; Mammalia; Diprotodontia; Macropodidae
Description: tRNA-Asp (GTC) (tRNA-Asp-GTC-9-1)
Rfam family: tRNA
About the family: Transfer RNA (tRNA) molecules are approximately 80 nucleotides in length. Their secondary structure includes four short double-helical elements and three loops (D, anti-codon, and T loops). Further hydrogen bonds mediate the characteristic L-shaped molecular structure. tRNAs have two regions of fundamental functional importance: the anti-codon, which is responsible for specific mRNA codon recognition, and the 3' end, to which the tRNAs corresponding amino acid is attached (by aminoacyl-tRNA synthetases). tRNAs cope with the degeneracy of the genetic code in two manners: having more than one tRNA (with a specific anti-codon) for a particular amino acid; and 'wobble' base-pairing, i.e. permitting non-standard base-pairing at the 3rd anti-codon position.
Source: RNAcentral